CUUUCUCUGCAACGCAACGCCAUCGUGAGAACAGUGCAGCGGGGGGACCCAAACAGUUCCCGCUGGGCUUAAGGGCCGGCCGUGGCACUUGGCCUGCGCCCGGAGGCGAGUUGUUGGAGACGCUGCGGGGCGCCCAGGCGCAACUUCGCUAAGUGCGGACUCCGGCCGCCAGACACCCGGGAGCUGGACCCUCCCGGAAGGGGAAGAAGGAGCAAACCGGAGAGAAAGAAGGAGCAGGUGGUUGUUUGAUGCAGCACUUGGUCUGAUCACAGAAUCCCACUGUGUUCUCCCAGAAGCCUUUGCCAGAGGUGGAUGGAAUCAUCAUUUCCAUUGUACAGAGGAAACUGAGGCUUGAGGGCAGAAGCGACAUACUUUGAGUCAGACAUCCAGUCUGCGGUGCUUUGUGAUGGCAGUCCUAGCAAACUAACACACUGCUGAACCAUUUCCCAGAGUGGCUGUACCAUUUCAUAUUCUCAUCAGCAAGUCCUCAUCACCUGGAAGCAGCUAGUGGCAUAUAGCUUGGUUCUGAAAAGGAGGAGAGGUCUGCAGGAGGUGGAGAAGGUCUGAGACCGUAGAAGGGCAGUGUCUCUCCACAAGCUCUACCAUGGCUUCCAGUCUCAGUCUGCUUUGAAUCAAGUAGAAGGCACAGAAAAGGAAUUUGCUCAAUCACUGAUGGGUGGGUGGACCAAGGAAAGACCCAGAAUUCACCAGCGUCAUUGUCUGGAGCAGAAGUAAUUCCUUUUGUAUCAUUUCAAUACACUGUUUGCUUCUUCUGCUGAUUAGGACAAACACAUAGUUACUAUCCAUUUAUUUGCAUGGCGCUGCCAGGACUCACCCUGAGAAGGGACAUGGUUGCCAAGGCUGCUAGCACCUGAUGUCCUCAGAGCUUCAGGAACUGCCCUCGCUGCAAGUGCUGCCGGUGUACUGGAGCCCUUGAGGCCUCAGCAUCCCCCCGCCAUCCUCCACAGUCCAGAAUCCCAGAGGGGGCAUGACCGGACAUGCUACGUUUGCUGUGUGUGCGCAUGUGUUUGUGUGUAACAGAGGCACAAGAAUGUCCUGACGUUGUGGCUUAGGGACAGAAAGGAAACUUCUUUGAGAGUUAGCCACCCUGGUGUUAUUAGACUUACAUUAUCACAUUAGGAUUAUUUUAAGUGGUCUGUAAGAAGAGUAAAGUGAAAGGCAGUGAGCACAUGAGAGGUUGCUGGGCUCCAGUUGUGAAAAUCACAAUGAGGAAACACCAGAGGCUUCUCAUUAGAACCAUGAAUGGAUUAUAGAACACCCACCACUACCAUUAUCAUUUGAUGUCUUUCCCAGUUUGUAGCUAGGGCAAUUAAAGAUGAAACAGAAACAAGAUUUAGAUCACUGGAAGGGAAAAGGCAAAAUUUUAUUAUUUGCAGAUGAUAUGAUUUUAUACCUCGCCUACUAAGAGAAUCAAACAAAAUGAACCCCGACUCUUGGAUUUCACAAGAAAGCUUAGUGGAUUUCGCAAGAGGGUUAUCCUGCUAGCAGGACAGAUAUACUAAAAUCAAAAGCUUUCCCACAUGCCAGCAGUGAUGGGCUCUAAGAUAUAAUGAGGGAGGGAGGAGGGAGAGAGAGAAAGAGGAGAGACAGAGUCCACUUUUAGAAGCAAAACUCGCAAAAUACUCAGAAAUGACCUUAAUGAGAAAUGUGCUGUGGGAUCUACGUAGGGGUCCCAUGUAAGAGAAAUCCCUAUGUAAAAAAAAAAUCUGCAGAGAUUUUAUAAAAAGAAAAAGGUAAGAAUUAAUGGGAAAUCGUACCGUGCUUUUUUUUUUUCUAAUUACAAAUGUUAUAUAUAUCUUCCUUCAUUAACUACUUAUUACAUUUGCAUUAUGGGCUGGGAUUUCAAUGGUGAAAAACACAGACAUGGUCCCCACCUUUAUGCAAUUUACAUUUGAGUGGAAGAGAUAGAUGAAAAAGAAUAAACAAAACAAAUUAUUCGUAUAAAUACAGCUCACAAUAAAUAUUCAAGAGAAGUGGCCUUUCCCUUUGACUUCUGUGGCCGAGCUCCCUGACAGACUCCUGUUCAGUCUUUACUGCAUAUGUCUUUACUGACUAUAACAAAUCUGUUAAAUAAGCAAUGAAUGAUGAAUCUAGUUUAACUAAGAAAAUAUGUAAACAGGGUACCAGUAAAUCGCCUGGGCUUUCAGUUAUGGAAGUCAGA
Molecule: long non-coding RNA, 2182 nt
Organism: Felis catus (domestic cat)
Lineage: Eukaryota; Metazoa; Chordata; Mammalia; Carnivora; Felidae
Exons: 4
Source: RefSeq, a predicted model, not a curated record